CCUACGGGAGGCUGCAGUGGGGAAUAUUGGGCAAUGGGCGCAAGCCUGACCCAGCAACGCCGCGUGAAGGAAGAAGGCUUUCGGGUUGUAAACUUCUUUUCUGAGGGACGAAGAAAGUGACGGUACCUCAGGAAUAAGCCACGGCUAACUACGUGCCAGCAGCCGCGGUAAUACGUAGGUGGCAAGCGUUAUCCGGAUUGAUUGGGUGUAAAGGGCGUGUAGGCGGGAAAGCAAGUCAGAUGUGAAAACUCAGGGUCCAACCCUGAGCCUGCAUUUGAAACUGUUUUUCUUGAGUGCUGGAGAGGCAAGCGGAAUGCCUGGUGUAGCGGUGAAAUGCGUAGAUAUACGGAGGAACACCAGUGGCGAAGGCGGAUUACUGGACAGUAACUGACGCUGAGGCGCGAAAGCGUGGGGAGCAAACAGGAUUAGAUACCCGGGUAGUC
RNAcentral lists this ribosomal RNA (443 nucleotides) under uncultured bacterium. RNAcentral's name for it is "partial 16S ribosomal RNA". It matches the Rfam family "Bacterial small subunit ribosomal RNA", at positions 338 to 795 of the family's 1533-position model. The record is from RNAcentral.